UACAGAGGGGGCAAGCGUUAUUCGGAAUUAUUGGGCGUAAAGGGCGCGUAGGCGGCUUGGCAAGUGGAUGGUGAAAUCCCUCGGCUUAACCGGGGAACUGCCGUCCAAACUGCUUCGCUUGAGACCGGGAGAGGUGAGUGGAAUUCCCAGUGUAGCGGUGAAAUGCGUAGAUAUUGGGAGGAACACCAGUGGCGAAGGCGGCUCACUGGACCGGUACUGACGCUGAUGCGCGAAAGCGUGGGGAGCAAACGGG
RNAcentral lists this ribosomal RNA (253 nucleotides) under uncultured bacterium. RNAcentral describes it as "partial 16S ribosomal RNA". It matches the Rfam family "Bacterial small subunit ribosomal RNA", at positions 524 to 776 of the family's 1533-position model. The record is from RNAcentral.